RNAcentral lists this ribosomal RNA (658 nucleotides) under Fungiacyathus pusillus pacificus. RNAcentral describes it as "eukaryotic LSU rRNA". It matches the Rfam family "Eukaryotic large subunit ribosomal RNA", at positions 117 to 613 of the family's 3401-position model. The record is from RNAcentral. Lineage: Eukaryota; Metazoa; Cnidaria; Anthozoa; Scleractinia; Fungiacyathidae.
GAAAUCUCUGACACGUGCGUCGUCGAGUUGUAGGUGCGAGAAGCACUUUCUAGGCGGAUGGGCGACGCCCAAGUUGCUUGGAACAGUACGUCGCAGAGGGUGACAACCCCGUCCGCGGCGUCGCCGGCCGCUCACGAUGUGCUUUCCAAGAGUCGGGUUGUUUGGGAAUGCAGCCCAAAACGGGUGGUAAACUCCAUCUAAAGCUAAAUAUUGACGUGAGACCGAUAGCGAACAAGUACCGUGAGGGAAAGAUGAAAAGAACUUUGAAAAGAGAGUUAAAAAGUACGUGAAACCGUUGGAAGGGAAACGAAUGGACUCAGCAAUGCCCCGUCUUUUGAGAUUCAGCCGGGCGGGCCGGCUCGGUCUCGGACUCUGCGGAUCCGAACGGACCGCGGUUCGGGGCUCGUUUCGGCCCGCCGUCGCACUUCUCUUGGGCGCAAGUCAACGUCGGUUGGGUCUGGGUCUGAAAGGUUCCGGGAAGGUGAGUCGGGCAGCGCGGUUCUCUGUCUCACGCGUGGCUCGUACCCGACCGAGGAAGCUGUAGCAKUCGCAGCYCAUGCCUCUUUUGGCUAGGGUCCUGUCUCUCCGGCCGGUCGUCGACCGCGGUGUACUGCUUGCAGUGCUCCGCGACAGCUGCCGGUCGUUGGGCGUGUCUCCU